This 301-nucleotide ribosomal RNA is filed under the name uncultured bacterium. RNAcentral's name for it is "partial 16S ribosomal RNA". It matches the Rfam family "Bacterial small subunit ribosomal RNA", at positions 509 to 807 of the family's 1533-position model. The record is from RNAcentral.
CAGCCGCCGCGGGAAAACAGAGGGUGCGAGCGUUAAUUGGAUUUACUGGGCGUAAAGCGUGCGUAGGCGGCUUCUUAAGUCGGAUGUGAAAUCCCUGAGCUUAACUUAGGAAUUGCAUUCGAUACUGGGAAGCUAGAGUAUGGGAGAGGAUGGUAGAAUUCCAGGUGUAGCGGUGAAAUGCGUAGAGAUCUGGAGGAAUACCGAUGGCGAAGGCAGCCAUCUGGCCUAAUACUGACGCUGAGGUACGAAAGCAUGGGGAGCAAACAGGAUUAGAUACCCCUGUAGUCCCUGUCUCUUAUAC